This 36-nucleotide ribosomal RNA is filed under the name Pseudocercospora gracilis. Its description in RNAcentral is "partial 18S ribosomal RNA". Lineage: Eukaryota; Fungi; Ascomycota; Dothideomycetes; Mycosphaerellales; Mycosphaerellaceae. The record is from RNAcentral.
ACAAGUCUCCGUAGGUGAACCUGCGGAGGGAUCAUU